AUGUUUGCUAAUGAAAUUGGAUUCACCAUUCGGAACCAUGCACCUCUAAAUGUGAAAAAAUGGAAAGAAGUAAAACCAGAAGAUAGGACAAGUUUGAUCAAAAGAAUAACUACUUAGUACGACAUUGACAUGUCUCUACCUUGGGUUAAGAGAUAUGUGAAUAAAUCUUUUGGAAUAGUGUUUACUAACUUCCGUUAUAAGCUGAAGAAGCAUUUUGAGCAAUUCUC
Molecule: long non-coding RNA, 227 nt
Filed under: Rosa chinensis
Lineage: Eukaryota; Viridiplantae; Streptophyta; Magnoliopsida; Rosales; Rosaceae
Description: sRNA RchiOBHm_Chr1g0333191
Source: RNAcentral